Molecule: ribosomal RNA, 346 nt
Filed under: uncultured bacterium
Lineage: Bacteria
Description: partial 16S ribosomal RNA
Rfam family: Bacterial small subunit ribosomal RNA
Source: RNAcentral
CCUACGGGUGGCAGCAGUGGGGAAUAUUGGGCAAUGGGCGAAAGCCUGACCCAGCAACGCCGCGUGAAGGAAGAAGGCUUUCGGGUUGUAAACUUCUUUUGACAGGGAAGAGCAGAAGACGGUACCUGUCGAAUAAGCCACGGCUAACUACGUGCUAGCAGCCGCGGUAAUACGUAGGUGGCAAGCGUUGUCCGGAUUUACUGGGUGUAAAGGGUGUGUAGCCGGGCUGACAAGGCAGAUGUGAAAUCCGGGGGCUCAACCCCCGAAGUGCAUUUGAAACUGUUGGUCUUGAGUAUCGGGGAGGCAGGCGGAAUGUCUGGGGUAGCGGUGAAAUGCGUAGAGAUUA